RNAcentral lists this ribosomal RNA (429 nucleotides) under Gemmatimonadota bacterium. RNAcentral describes it as "Gemmatimonadetes bacterium partial 16S ribosomal RNA". It matches the Rfam family "Bacterial small subunit ribosomal RNA", at positions 355 to 776 of the family's 1533-position model. Lineage: Bacteria; Pseudomonadati; Gemmatimonadota. The record is from RNAcentral.
UAGGGAAUCUUCGGCAAUGGACGAAAGUCUGACAGAGCAACGCCGCGUGAGUGAAGUAGGUUUUCGGAUCGCAAAACUCUGUUGUUAGAGAAGAACAAGGACGGGAGUAACUGAACGUCCCCUGACGGUAUCUAACCAGAAAGCCACGGCUAACUACGUGCCAGCAGCCGUGGUAAUACGUAGGUGGCAAGCGUUGUCCGGAUUUAUUGGGCGUAAAGCGAGCGCAGGCGGUUUCUUAAGUCUGAUGUGAAAGCCCCCGGCUCAACCGGGGAGGGUCAUUGGAAACUGGGAGCCUUGAGUGCAGAAGAGGAGAGUGGAAUUCCAUGUGUAGCGGUGAAAUGCGUAGAUAUAUGGAGAAACACCAGUGGCGAGGGCGGCUCUCUGGUCUGAAACUGACGCUGAGGCUCGAAAGCGUGGGGAGCAAACAGG